RNAcentral lists this ribosomal RNA (253 nucleotides) under uncultured bacterium. RNAcentral's name for it is "partial 16S ribosomal RNA". It matches the Rfam family "Bacterial small subunit ribosomal RNA", at positions 524 to 776 of the family's 1533-position model. The record is from RNAcentral.
UACAGAGGUCCCAAGCGUUGUUCGGAUUCACUGGGCGUAAAGGGUGCGUAGGUGGUGAGGUAAGUCGGAUGUGAAAUCUCCGAGCUCAACUCGGAAAUGGCAUUGGAAACUACCUUGCUCGAGGGUUGGAGGGGGGACUGGAAUGCUUGGUGUAGCAGUGAAAUGCGUAGAUAUCAAGCGGAACACCGGUGGCGAAGGCGAGUCCCUGGACAACUCCUGACACUGAGGCACGAAAGCUAGGGGAGCAAACAGG